UGUUGCAGGCGUGCAGGUCGGUGGUGUUACACACAUUCAUGCUGUUGUAGGCGUUGGCAGGUUGUUGUGUUCACAUUCAUGCUGUUGUAUGCUUUUUUUUUUGUCAGGUCGUUGUCAUUUUUUUUUUGGUGUUACAUCAUGCUGUUGCAGGCGUGCAGGUCGGUGUGUUACACAUUCAUGCGCUGCAGCGUGGUCAUUCAUGCUGUUGUAGCGUGCAGGUCGGUGGUGUUACACACAUUCAUGCUGUUGCAGGCGUGCAGGUCGGUGGUGGUACACACAUUCAUGCUGUUGUAGGCGUGCAGGUCGUGGUGGUACACACAUUCAUGCUGUUUGUAGCGUGCAGGUCGGUGGUGUUACACACAUUCAUGCUGUUGUAGGCGUGCAGGUCGGGGUGUUACACCAUUCAUGCUGUUGCAGGCGUGCAGGUCGGUGGUGGUACACACAUUCAUGGCUGUUGUAGGCGUGCAGGUCGGUGGUGUUACACACAUUCAUGCUGUUGUAGCGUGCAGGUCGGUGGUGUUACAACAUUCAUGCUGUUGCAGGCGUGCAGGUCGGUGGUGUUCACACAUUCAUGCUGUUGUAGGCGUGCAGGUCAGUGGUGUUACACACAUUCAUGCUGUUGCAGGCGUGCAGGUCGGUGGUGGUACACACAUUCAUGCUGUUGUAGGGUGCAGGUCGGUGGUGGUACUUCAUGCUGUUGCAGGCGUGCAGGUCGGUGGUGUUACACACAUUCAUGCUGUUGUGCAGCCAUCACCUCCACCGGUGGACACCAGGGCUGUGCUGUUUUGGUUGCUGUAAGCGUGGGUGCACACUCCUGCCUGAGGCUCUGACUUGUUGUGAGUGCGGGUGCACACACCUGCCUGAGGCUGUGUUUUGGGUGUUGUGAGCGCGGGUACACACACCUGCCUGAGGCUCUGUUUUGACUGUUGUGAGCGCAGGUGCACACACCUGCCAGAGGCUCUGUUUUGACUGUUGUGAGCGCGGGUGCACACACCUGCCUGAGGCUGUGGUGCGAUCUCAGCUGACUGCAACCUCCACCUCCCGGGUUCAAGCGGUUCUCCUGCCUCAGCCUCCCGAGUAGCUGGGACUAUACCCACCACCACACCCGGCUAUUUUUUUGUAUUUUUAGUAGAGAUGGGAUUUCGCCAUCUUGGCCAGGAUGGUCUGGAACUGACCUCAGGUGAUCCACCCAUUGGCCUCCCAAAGUGCUGGGAUUACAGAUGUGAGCCACUGUGCCCGGCCUCUUUUUACUUUGUUAAUGGUGUAUUUUGAUAGAGAACAGAUUGUCAUUUUCAUGAAGCACAGCUGGUCGGUUUAUUGUUGCUCAUGUAUUUGGCCUCACGUUCGAGUCCCUGUUCUUAAUCAUGAGCUGGACACAUCCCUCUUUAGAGCAACUGUGACCACUUGUGGUGAGAAGUGCAGCCCACACCAUCCACGUGAGGCUCCCAUGCAGAUGUUUAGAAGGCGUUUCCACUGCAGCUCAGAAAAUGGCCCCAGGCGCCCAUGGGCACCCCCAUGUCACUAGGGCCUCUGGUUGCUGCAGGUACACAGGGAUAAGCAGCCUGGCCUCGAAGGCGCUUGGCAUGGGUUUGGGUGUCUGCAUUGGGUAGAGACCCGGAGCACCCUUGCUGGGCGUGCCCUAACAUCCCAGUACCCUGUGCCCCUCUGUGGGCCAGGAUGCCUGGUGCUGCCAGCUGGGCGUGAGCCCUGAGGAGCUGAGGGUGGCUGUGACUUGGAGGAUGAGUGGGAGCUUACCAGGAGGGCGUGGAGCCGGGGCGUUUAAUAUCAUCAGGAGCAACACUGGGCUCAGAAGGCAGGCACACUUGCCGUCCCUCCAGAGCCAUGGCUGACGGCCAGGCCUGGCGGGCUCUCGUGAGGACAGUGCCUGUGGUUGUCAGAUGCUGUCCCUUCGGGUAAGGGAUGAGAGCCAUCCUGAAGACAGGUCAGCUCUGUGGUGGCCACCCGUCGGGAUCAGUGACAUUCAGGUGUGUUGCACUGGUGGCUGUGUGGCUGUGUGGUGUGUGGCUGUGUGGUGUGUGGUGUGGCCACCAGGAGCCAUGUGGCCGAGGACAGCUGUGGGCUGGGCACAGAGCUGUCUCUGCUGGGAGUCAGUCGGUGCUGGGGUGAGGGGAGGCAGAGCUCACAGAGCCCCUCUACAGCUUACCCUGCAGCUCUGCCCCAGGCAGUAAACCCACCAUCCCCCUUUCUGCCGCAGGAGGCCGUGGAGAAGGUGACGCAGCACAUACAUGGCCUGUCUGGGAAGAAGGAUGGGCUGGUGCCCAUGUUCAUCAAUACCCACAGCGGCCUCUUCACCCACCUGGGCGUGUUCACACUGGGCGCCAGGGCCGACAGCUACUAUGAGUACCUGCUGAAGCAGUGGAUCCAGGGCGGGAAGCAGGAGACACAGCUGCUGGAAGACUACCUGGAAGCCAUCGAGGGUGUCAAAACGCACCUGCUGCGGCACUCCGAGCCCAGUAAGCUCACCUUCGUGGGGGAGCUUGCCCACGGCCGCUUCAGUGCCAAGAUGGACCACCUGGUGUGCUUCCUGCCAGGGACGCUGGCUCUGGGCGUCUACCACGGCCUGCCCGCCAGCCACAUGGAGCUGGCCCAGGAGCUCAUGGAGACUUGUUACCAGAUGAACCGGCAGAUGGAGACGGGGCUGAGUCCCGAGAUCGUGCACUUCAACCUUUACCCCCAGCCGGGCCGUCGGGACGUGGAGGUCAAGCCGGCAGACAGGCACAACCUGCUGCGGCCAGAGACCGUGGAGAGCCUGUUCUACCUGUACCGUGUCACAGGGGACCGCAAGUACCAGGACUGGGGCUGGGAGAUUCUGCAGAGCUUCAGCCGGUUCACGCGGGUCCCCUCGGGUGGCUAUUCUUCCAUCAACAAUGUCCAGGAUCCUCAGAAGCCCGAGCCCAGGGACAAGAUGGAGAGCUUCUUCCUGGGGGAGACGCUCAAGUAUCUGUUCUUGCUCUUCUCUGACGACCGUAACCUACUCAGCCUGGACGCCUACGUGUUCAACACUGAAGCCCACCCUCUGCCUAUCUGGACCCCUGCCUAGGGGGGACGGCUGCUGCUGUGGGGACUUCGGGUGGGCAGAGGCGCCUGGCUGGGUCUGUGGCAUUUUCCAAGGGCCCACGUAGCGCCGGCAACCGCCGAGUGGCCCGGGCUCUGAACUGGCUCUGGGCUCCUCCUUGUCUCUGCUUUAAUCAGGACACCGUGAGGCCAAGUGAGGCCGUCAGUCUGUGUGUGAUGCGGUGUGGGCUGGGCCACUGGAGCCUCCGCCUGCUUCCUCCAGAAAACACGAAUCAUGACUCACGAUCGCUGAAGCCUGAGCAGGUCUCUGUGGGCCGACCGGAGGGGCUUCGAGUGGCCCCUGGCACUGUGGUGACCGAGUGGACAGCCCAGGGUGCAGCUCUGCCCAGGCUCGUGAAGCCUCAGAUGUCCCCAAUCCAAGGGUCUGGAGGGGCUGCCGUGACUCCACAGGCCCGAGGCUCCAGGGCUGGCUCUGGUGUUUACUAGCUGGACUCAGGGAUCCUCCUGGCCACCCCGCAGGGGGCUUGGAGGGCUGGACGGCAAGUCUGUCUGGCUCACGGGCCCCUCCAGUGGAAUGGGUCCUUUCGGUGGAGAUAAAAGUUGAUUUGCUCU
Molecule: small RNA, 3648 nt
Filed under: Pongo abelii (Sumatran orangutan)
Lineage: Eukaryota; Metazoa; Chordata; Mammalia; Primates; Hominidae
Description: retained intron
Source: RNAcentral